Molecule: ribosomal RNA, 220 nt
Filed under: Staphylococcus arlettae CVD059
Lineage: Bacteria; Bacillati; Bacillota; Bacilli; Caryophanales; Staphylococcaceae
Description: partial 16S ribosomal RNA
Rfam family: Bacterial small subunit ribosomal RNA
Source: RNAcentral
UUUUUAUGGAGAGUUUGAUCCUGGCUCAGGAUGAACGCUGGCGGCGUGCCUAAUACAUGCAAGUCGAGCGAACAGAUAAGGAGCUUGCUCCUUUGACGUUAGCGGCGGACGGGUGAGUAACACGUGGGUAACCUACCUAUAAGACUGGAAUAACUCCGGGAAACCGGGGCUAAUGCCGGAUAACAUUUAGAACCGCAUGGUUCUAAGUGAAGAUGGUUUG